Molecule: ribosomal RNA, 253 nt
Filed under: uncultured bacterium
Lineage: Bacteria
Description: partial 16S ribosomal RNA
Rfam family: Bacterial small subunit ribosomal RNA
Source: RNAcentral
UACGGGGGGGGCAAGCGUUGUUCGGAAUUACUGGGCGUAAAGGGCUCGUAGGUGGCCAAUUAAGUCAGGCGUGAAAUCCCCAGGCUCAACUUGGGAACUGCGUCUGAUACUGGUUGGCUUGAAUUCGGGAGAGGGAUGCAGAAUUCCAGGUGUAGCGGUGAAAUGCGUAGAUAUCUGGAGGAACACCGGUGGCGAAGGCGGCAUCCUGGACCGAUAUUGACGCUGAGGCGCGAAAGCCAGGGGAGCAAACGGG